AAAGUUUUAAGUUAAAUUAAACUAAUAGUCUUCAAAACUAUAAAUAUAAGAUAAAUUACUUUUAAACUUUA
Molecule: transfer RNA, 71 nt
Filed under: Oreogeton sp. DY-2020
Lineage: Eukaryota; Metazoa; Arthropoda; Insecta; Diptera; Empididae
Description: tRNA-Trp
Source: RNAcentral